Non-coding RNA from Hipposideros armiger (great roundleaf bat), 70 nucleotides. The record is from the annotation of a RefSeq genome assembly. Lineage: Eukaryota; Metazoa; Chordata; Mammalia; Chiroptera; Hipposideridae.
CAAAGUAUAGCUUAAACCAAAGCACCUAGUUUACACCCAGGAGAUUCCACUCGCUUAAUGGAUACUUUGA